UACGGGGGGGGGCAAGCGUUGUUCGGAAUUACUGGGCGUAAAGGGCUCGUAGGCGGCCCACUAAGUCAGAUGUGAAAUCCCCAGGCUCAACCUGGGAACUGCAUCUGAUACUGGUGGGCUUGAAUUCGGGAGAGGGAUGCAGAAUUCCAGGUGUAGCGGUGAAAUGCGUAGAUAUCUGGAGGAAUACCGGUGGCGAAGGCGGCAUCCUGGACCGACAUUGACGCUGAGGAGCGAAAGCUAGGGGAGCAAA
Molecule: ribosomal RNA, 250 nt
Filed under: uncultured bacterium
Lineage: Bacteria
Description: partial 16S ribosomal RNA
Rfam family: Bacterial small subunit ribosomal RNA
Source: RNAcentral